Molecule: long non-coding RNA, 402 nt
Organism: Amphibalanus amphitrite
Lineage: Eukaryota; Metazoa; Arthropoda; Thecostraca; Balanomorpha; Balanidae
Exons: 2
Source: RefSeq, a predicted model, not a curated record
UUGUAGUGGCCCGAUCAGUGAACAUGUUCUACCUCCGCCUUAUAGUUGUCAUUUGUUUUCUGUUGGCGGUCUUCGCCACAGCUUUGGUUAAUGGACAACAAUACUGCUGCUGGCAAAAUGGCGAGUGCCUCUGUGGGCCCGACCCAUGUCCUGUUGCGCAGAUAUGUAGCAGGAGAGGGAGUGGUUAAUCCGCCCCGCCAGCGUGCCAGCCAGCUCCAAUAUGUUCGGAAUAUACACGUAUUUGCAUCAACUACACGUCAGAGCACGGCAGCAAGAGGAUGAGAAGAAUGGGUGGUGUUCCAGAAAAGCAACUACAUCAGUGCAGCAUAUGAUUGACCCUUUGUCAUUUAAAGUUUGGGUACGACAAACAAAUACAUCAUACAUUGGUGUUGUUCUUUUCAA